RNAcentral lists this ribosomal RNA (498 nucleotides) under uncultured bacterium. Its description in RNAcentral is "partial 16S ribosomal RNA". It matches the Rfam family "Bacterial small subunit ribosomal RNA", at positions 30 to 523 of the family's 1533-position model. The record is from RNAcentral.
AUUGAACGCUGGCGGCAUGCCUUACACAUGCAAGUCGAACGGUAACAGGUCUUCGGAUGCUGACGAGUGGCGAACGGGUGAGUAAUACAUCGGAACGUGCCUAGUAGUGGGGGAUAACUACUCGAAAGAGUGGCUAAUACCGCAUGAGAUCUACGGAUGAAAGCAGGGGAUCGCAAGACCUUGUGCUACUAGAGCGGCCGAUGGCAGAUUAGGUAGUUGGUGGGAUAAAAGCUUACCAAGCCGACGAUCUGUAGCUGGUCUGAGAGGACGAUCAGCCACACUGGACAUGAGACACGGCCCAGACUCCUACGGGAGGCAGCAGUGGGGAAUUUUGGACAAUGGGCGCAAGCCUGAUCCAGCAAUGCCGCGUGCAGGAUGAAGGCCCUCGGGUUGUAAACUGCUUUUGUACGGAACGAAAAGCCCCGGGUUAAUACCCUGGGGUCAUGACGGUACCGUAAGAAUAAGCACCGGCUAACUACGUGCCAGCCGCCGCAGUAA